CUACACAUGCAAGUCGAGCGGUAGAGAGAAGCUUGCUUCUCUUGAGAGCGGCGGACGGGUGAGUAAUGCCUAGGAAUCUGCCUGGUAGUGGGGGAUAACGUUCGGAAACGAACGCUAAUACCGCAUACGUCCUACGGGAGAAAGCAGGGGACCUUCGGGCCUUGCGCUAUCAGAUGAGCCUAGGUCGGAUUAGCUAGUUGGUGAGGUAAUGGCUCACCAAGGCGACGAUCCGUAACUGGUCUGAGAGGAUGAUCAGUCACACUGGAACUGAGACACGGUCCAGACUCCUACGGGAGGCAGCAGUGGGGAAUAUUGGACAAUGGGCGAAAGCCUGAUCCAGCCAUGCCGCGUGUGUGAAGAAGGUCUUCGGAUUGUAAAGCACUUUAAGUUGGGAGGAAGGGCCAUUACCUAAUACGUGAUGGUUUUGACGUUACCGACAGAAUAAGCACCGGCUAACUCUGUGCCAGCAGCCGCGGUAAUACAGAGGGUGCAAGCGUUAAUCGGAAUUACUGGGCGUAAAGCGCGCGUAGGUGGUUUGUUAAGUUGGAUGUGAAAGCCCCGGGCUCAACCUGGGAACUGCAUUCAAAACUGACAAGCUAGAGUAUGGUAGAGGGUGGUGGAAUUUCCUGUGUAGCGGUGAAAUGCGUAGAUAUAGGAAGGAACACCAGUGGCGAAGGCGACCACCUGGACUGAUACUGACACUGAGGUGCGAAAGCGUGGGGAGCAAACAGGAUUAGAUACCCUGGUAGUCCACGCCGUAAACGAUGUCAACUAGCCGUUGGGAGCCUUGAGCUCUUAGUGGCGCAGCUAACGCAUUAAGUUGACCGCCUGGGGAGUACGGCCGCAAGGUUAAAACUCAAAUGAAUUGACGGGGGCCCGCACAAGCGGUGGGAGCA
RNAcentral lists this ribosomal RNA (896 nucleotides) under Pseudomonas sp. PH1(2008). RNAcentral describes it as "bacterial SSU rRNA". It matches the Rfam family "Bacterial small subunit ribosomal RNA", at positions 49 to 939 of the family's 1533-position model. Lineage: Bacteria; Pseudomonadati; Pseudomonadota; Gammaproteobacteria; Pseudomonadales; Pseudomonadaceae. The record is from RNAcentral.